This 389-nucleotide ribosomal RNA is filed under the name uncultured Chrysophyceae. RNAcentral's name for it is "partial small subunit ribosomal RNA". It matches the Rfam family "Eukaryotic small subunit ribosomal RNA", at positions 30 to 432 of the family's 1831-position model. The record is from RNAcentral. Lineage: Eukaryota; Chrysophyceae.
GCUUGUCUCAAAGAUUAAGCCAUGCAUGUCUAAGUAUAAACAAAUCUAUACUGUGAAACUGCGAAUGGCUCAUUAUAUCAGUUAUAGUUUAUUUGAUGGUUCUUGCUACUUGGAUAACCGUAGUAAUUCUAGAGCUAAUACAUGCAUCAAACCCCGACUCACGAAGGGGUGUAUUUAUUAGAUGGAAACCAAUGCGGGGCAACCCGGAUUAUGGUGAUUCAUAAUAACUCGCGGAUCGGUUUACCGAUGCAUCAUUCAAGUUUCUGCCCUAUCAGCUUUGGAUGGUAGGGUAUUGGCCUACCAUGGCGUUAACGGGUAACGGAGAAUUAGGGUUCGAUUCCGGAGAGGGAGCCUGAGAAAUGGCUACCACAUCCAAGGAAGGCAGCAGG